This 805-nucleotide ribosomal RNA is filed under the name uncultured Chromohalobacter sp. RNAcentral describes it as "bacterial SSU rRNA". It matches the Rfam family "Bacterial small subunit ribosomal RNA", at positions 592 to 1397 of the family's 1533-position model. Lineage: Bacteria; Pseudomonadati; Pseudomonadota; Gammaproteobacteria; Oceanospirillales; Halomonadaceae. The record is from RNAcentral.
GUGUGAAAGCCCCGGGCUCAACCUGGGAAUGGCAUCCGGAACGGGCAGGCUAGAGUGCAGGAGAGGAAGGUAGAAUUCCCGGUGUAGCGGUGAAAUGCGUAGAGAUCGGGAGGAAUACCAGUGGCGAAGGCGGCUUUCUGGACUGACACUGACGCUGAGGUGCGAAAGCGUGGGUAGCAAACAGGAUUAGAUACCCUGGUAGUCCACGCCGUAAACGAUGUCGACUAGCCGUUGGGUCCCUUGAGGACUUAGUGGCGCAGUUAACGCGAUAAGUCGACCGCCUGGGGAGUACGGCCGCAAGGUUAAAACUCAAAUGAAUUGACGGGGGCCCGCACAAGCGGUGGAGCAUGUGGUUUAAUUCGAUGCAACGCGAAGAACCUUACCUACCCUUGACAUCCUGCGAACUGGGUAGAGAUACCCGGGUGCCUUCGGGAGCGCAGAGACAGGUGCUGCAUGGCUGUCGUCAGCUCGUGUUGUGAAAUGUUGGGUUAAGUCCCGUAACGAGCGCAACCCUUAUCCCUAUUUGCCAGCGGUCCGGCCGGGAACUCUAGGGAGACUGCCGGUGACAAACCGGAGGAAGGUGGGGACGACGUCAAGUCAUCAUGGCCCUUACGGGUAGGGCUACACACGUGCUACAAUGGCCGGUACAAAGGGUUGCGAAAGCGCGAGCUGAAGCCAAUCCCGGAAAGUCGGUCUCAGUCCGGAUCGGAGUCUGCAACUCGACUCCGCGAAGUCGGAAUCGCUAGUAAUCGUGCAUCAGAAUGGCACGGUGAAUACGUUCCCGGGCCUUGUACACACCGCCCGU